CCGCGCAUCGCGCUAUGAUGGAGUCGAGCGAACGACGAGGAGCUUGCUCCUCUGACGUUAGCGGCGGACGGGUGAGUAACACGUGGAUAACCUACCUAUAAGACUGGGAUAACUUCGGGAAACCGGAGCUAAUACCGGAUAAUAUAUUGAACCGCAUGGUUCAAUAGUGAAAGACGGUUUUGCUGUCACUUAUAGAUGGAUCCGCGCCGCAUUAGCUAGUUGGUAAGGUAACGGCUUACCAAGGCAACGAUGCGUAGCCGACCUGAGAGGGUGAUCGGCCACACUGGAACUGAGACACGGUCCAGACUCCUACGGGAGGCAGCAGUAGGGAAUCUUCCGCAAUGGGCGAAAGCCUGACGGAGCAACGCCGCGUGAGUGAUGAAGGUCUUCGGAUCGUAAAACUCUGUUAUUAGGGAAGAACAAAUGUGUAAGUAACUAUGCACGUCUUGACGGUACCUAAUCAGAAAGCCACGGCUAACUACGUGCCAGCAGCCGCGGUAAUACGUAGGUGGCAAGCGUUAUCCGGAAUUAUUGGGCGUAAAGCGCGCGUAGGUGGUUUUUUAAGUCUGAUGUGAAAGCCCACGGCUCAACCGUGGAGGGUCAUUGGAAACUGGAAAACUUGAGUGCAGAAGAGGAAAGUGGAAUUCCAUGUGUAGCGGUGAAAUGCGCAGAGAUAUGGAGGAACACCAGUGGCGAAGGCGACUUUCUGGUCUGUAACUGACGCUGAUGUGCGAAAGCGUGGGGAUCAAACAGGAUUAGAUACCCUGGUAGUCCACGCCGUAAACGAUGAGUGCUAAGUGUUAGGGGGUUUCCGCCCCCUUAGUGCUGCAGCUAACGCAUUAAGCACUCCGCCUGG
This 856-nucleotide ribosomal RNA is filed under the name uncultured marine bacterium. Its description in RNAcentral is "bacterial SSU rRNA". It matches the Rfam family "Bacterial small subunit ribosomal RNA", at positions 42 to 876 of the family's 1533-position model. The record is from RNAcentral.